CCUACGGGUGGCAGCAGUAGGGAAUCUUCCACAAUGGACGAAAGUCUGAUGGAGCAACGCCGCGUGAGUGAAGAAGGGUUUCGGCUCGUAACGCUCUGUUGGUAGUGAAGAAAGAUAGAGGUAGUAACUGGCCUUUAUUUGACGGUAAUUACUUAGAAAGUCACGGCUAACUACGUUCCAGCAGCCGCGGUAAUACGUAGGUGGCAAGCGUUGUCCGGAUUUAUUGGGCGUAAAGCGAGUGCAGGCGGUUCAAUAAGUCUGAUUGGAAAGCCUUCGGCUGAACCGGAGAAUUGCAUCAGAAACUGUUGAACUUGAGUGCAGAAGAGGAGAGUGGAACUCCAUGUGUAGCGGUGGAAUGCGUAGAUAUAUGGAAGAACACCAGUGGCGAAGGCGGCUCUCUGGUCUGCAACUGACGCUGAGGCUCGAAAGCAUGGGUAGCGAACAGGAUUAGAUACCCGGGUAGUC
This 465-nucleotide ribosomal RNA is filed under the name uncultured bacterium. RNAcentral describes it as "partial 16S ribosomal RNA". It matches the Rfam family "Bacterial small subunit ribosomal RNA", at positions 338 to 795 of the family's 1533-position model. The record is from RNAcentral.